RNAcentral lists this transfer RNA (73 nucleotides) under Dipodomys ordii (Ord's kangaroo rat). It matches the Rfam family "tRNA". Rfam says of the family: Transfer RNA (tRNA) molecules are approximately 80 nucleotides in length. Their secondary structure includes four short double-helical elements and three loops (D, anti-codon, and T loops). The record is from Rfam by way of RNAcentral. Lineage: Eukaryota; Metazoa; Chordata; Mammalia; Rodentia; Heteromyidae.
GGAGGUAUGGCUCAAGCGGUAGAGUCCCUGCCUCAAAAGCACAAAGUCCUGAGUUCAAACUCUAGUACUGCUU